AAGGUCAUACUUCUCAGAAUCAUUUCUGUAGUGUGUUUUUCUUCGCUGUUAGCGAAAAUGCGAGGGAGCGCGACCGCGAUGAUGUGGCAUGGCGUCACCUCCAGAGCGGGUUGAAGUCUCUUGUCCUUACUUUCAGGGUCUUGGAUGCUAUGCUUGAUGACUGCAGGAAGAACCCUGAAGAGGGUUUAUCCUAAGGAGUUGACGCUUGCUGAGCGGU
This 217-nucleotide small nucleolar RNA is filed under the name Loa loa (African eye worm). RNAcentral describes it as "small nucleolar RNA U3". It matches the Rfam family "Small nucleolar RNA U3". From Rfam's summary of the family: Small nucleolar RNAs (snoRNAs) are involved in the processing and modification of rRNA in the nucleolus. There are two main classes of snoRNAs: the box C/D class, and the box H/ACA class. The record is from Rfam by way of RNAcentral. Lineage: Eukaryota; Metazoa; Nematoda; Chromadorea; Rhabditida; Onchocercidae.